GACGAACGCUGGCGGCGUGCCUAAUACAUGCAAGUUGAGCGCUGAAGGUUGGUACUUGUACCGACUGGAUGAGCAGCGAACGGGUGAGUAACGCGUGGGGAAUCUGCCUUUGAGCGGGGGACAACAUUUGGAAACGAAUGCUAAUACCGCAUAAAAACUUUAAACACAAGUUUUAAGUUUGAAAGAUGCAAUUGCAUCACUCAAAGAUGAUCCCGCGUUGUAUUAGCUAGUUGGUGAGGUAAAGGCUCACCAAGGCGAUGAUACAUAGCCGACCUGAGAGGGUGAUCGGCCAAAAGGGGAAUGAGAAACGGCCCAAACUCCUACGGGAGGCAGCAGUAGGGAAACUUCGGCAAUGGACGAAAGUCUGACCGAGCAACGCCGCGUGAGUGAAGAAGGUUUUCGGAUCGUAAAACUCUGUUGGUAGAGAAGAACGUUGGGGAGAGUGGAAAGCUCAUCAAGUGACGGUAACUACCCAGAAAGGGACGGCUAACUACGUG
This 497-nucleotide ribosomal RNA is filed under the name uncultured bacterium. RNAcentral describes it as "partial 16S ribosomal RNA". It matches the Rfam family "Bacterial small subunit ribosomal RNA", at positions 28 to 507 of the family's 1533-position model. The record is from RNAcentral.